GGACCUAACACAUGCAAGUCGAGCGGUAGCACAGGAGAGCUUGCUCUCUGGGUGACGAGCGGCGGACGGGUGAGUAAUGUCUGGGAAACUGCCUGAUGGAGGGGGAUAACUACUGGAAACGGUAGCUAAUACCGCAUGACCUCGCAAGAGCAAAGUGGGGGACCUUCGGGCCUCACGCCAUCGGAUGUGCCCAGAUGGGAUUAGCUAGUAGGUGGGGUAAUGGCUCACCUAGGCGACGAUCCCUAGCUGGUCUGAGAGGAUGACCAGCCACACUGGAACUGAGACACGGUCCAGACUCCUACGGGAGGCAGCAGUGGGGAAUAUUGCACAAUGGGCGCAAGCCUGAUGCAGCCAUGCCGCGUGUGUGAAGAAGGCCUUAGGGUUGUAAAGCACUUUCAGCGAGGAGGAAGGGCUCAGUGUUAAUAGCACUGAGCAUUGACGUUACUCGCAGAAGAAGCACCGGCUAACUCCGUG
RNAcentral lists this ribosomal RNA (474 nucleotides) under uncultured Enterobacteriaceae bacterium. RNAcentral's name for it is "bacterial SSU rRNA". It matches the Rfam family "Bacterial small subunit ribosomal RNA", at positions 45 to 507 of the family's 1533-position model. The record is from RNAcentral. Lineage: Bacteria; Pseudomonadati; Pseudomonadota; Gammaproteobacteria; Enterobacterales; Enterobacteriaceae.